GAACGCUGGCGGCAGGCUAACACAUGCAAGUCGAGCGGGGAUAGGGUGCUUGCACCUGAUCCUAGCGGCGGACGGGUGAGUAAUGCUUAGGAAUCUGCCUAGUUAGUGGGGGACAACGUUCCGAAAGGGACGCUAAUACCGCAUACGUCCUACGGGAGAAAGCAGGGGAUCUUCGGACCUUGCGCUAAUAGAUGAGCCUAAGUCGGAUUAGCUAGUUGGUGGGGUAAAGGCCUACCAAGGCGACGAUCUGUAGCGGGUCUGAGAGGAUGAUCCGCCACACUGGGACUGAGACACGGCCCAGACUCCUACGGGAGGCAGCAGUGGGGAAUAUUGGACAAUGGGGGCAACCCUGAUCCAGCCAUGCCGCGUGUGUGAAGAAGGCCUUUUGGUUGUAAAGCACUUUAAGCGAGGAGGAGGCUUACCUGGUUAAUACCCGGGAUAAGUGGACGUUACUCGCAGAAUAAGCACCGGCUAACUCUGUGCCAGCAGCGGC
This 493-nucleotide ribosomal RNA is filed under the name uncultured bacterium. RNAcentral describes it as "bacterial SSU rRNA". It matches the Rfam family "Bacterial small subunit ribosomal RNA", at positions 31 to 518 of the family's 1533-position model. The record is from RNAcentral.